RNAcentral lists this ribosomal RNA (253 nucleotides) under uncultured bacterium. RNAcentral describes it as "partial 16S ribosomal RNA". It matches the Rfam family "Bacterial small subunit ribosomal RNA", at positions 524 to 776 of the family's 1533-position model. The record is from RNAcentral.
UACGUAGGGUCCAAGCGUUAAUCGGAAUUACUGGGCGUAAAGCGUGCGCAGGCGGUUAUAUAAGACAGAUGUGAAAUCCCCGGGCUCAACCUGGGAACUGCAUUUGUGACUGUAUAGCUGGAGUACGGCAGAGGGGGAUGGAAUUCCGCGUGUAGCAGUGAAAUGCGUAGAUAUGCGGAGGAACACCGAUGGCGAAGGCAAUCCCCUGGGCCUGUACUGACGCUCAUGCACGAAAGCGUGGGGAGCAAACAGG